Molecule: ribosomal RNA, 256 nt
Filed under: uncultured bacterium
Lineage: Bacteria
Description: partial 16S ribosomal RNA
Rfam family: Bacterial small subunit ribosomal RNA
Source: RNAcentral
UACGUAGGGUCCGAGCGUUGUCCGGAAUUACUGGGCGUAAAGAGCUCGUAGGUGGUUUGUCGCGUUGUUCGUGAAAACUCACAGCUCAACUGUGGGCGUGCGGGCGAUACGGGCGGACUCGAGUUCGGCAGGGGAGACUGGAAUUCCUGGUGUAGCGGUGAAAUGCGCAGAUAUCAGGAGGAACACCGGUGGCGAAGGCGGGUCUCUGGGCCGAUACUGACGCUGGAGGAAGCGAAAGCGUCGGGGAGCAAACAGG